UCGAGAAUUUUUCACAAUGGGCGAAAGCCUGAUGGAGCGACGCCGCGUGGGGGAUGAAUGGCUUCGGCCCGUAAACCCCUGUCAUUUGCGAACAAGUUGCUUCACUUAACACGUGAAGCAUUGAUUGUAGCGAAAGAGGAAGGGACGGCUAACUCUGUGCCAGCAGCCGCGGUAAUACAGAGGUCCCAAGCGUUGUUCGGAUUCACUGGGCGUAAAGGGUGCGUAGGUGGUGGGGUAAGUCGGAUGUGAAAUCUCCAGGCUCAACCUGGAAAUGGCAUUGGAAACUACCUUGCUAGAGGGUUUGAGGGGGGACUGGAAUACUUGGUGUAGCAGUGAAAUGCGUAGAUAUCAAGUGGAACACCAGUGGCGAAGGCGAGUCCCUGGAAAAUACCUGACACUGAGGCACGAAAGCUAGGGGAGCAAACAG
This 427-nucleotide ribosomal RNA is filed under the name uncultured bacterium. RNAcentral's name for it is "bacterial SSU rRNA". It matches the Rfam family "Bacterial small subunit ribosomal RNA", at positions 355 to 775 of the family's 1533-position model. The record is from RNAcentral.